This 73-nucleotide transfer RNA is filed under the name Hypleurochilus springeri (orangespotted blenny). RNAcentral describes it as "tRNA-Asp". It matches the Rfam family "tRNA". Rfam says of the family: Transfer RNA (tRNA) molecules are approximately 80 nucleotides in length. Their secondary structure includes four short double-helical elements and three loops (D, anti-codon, and T loops). The record is from RNAcentral. Lineage: Eukaryota; Metazoa; Chordata; Actinopteri; Blenniiformes; Blenniidae. RNAcentral also lists the same sequence under 1 other name.
GAGACGCUAGUAAAACUGAAUAUUACAAAGCUUUGUCAAGGCUUAAUUGCAGGUUGAACUCCUGCGCGUCUUA